This 493-nucleotide long non-coding RNA is filed under the name Monodelphis domestica (gray short-tailed opossum). RNAcentral describes it as "lncRNA (ENSMODG00000048252.1)". Lineage: Eukaryota; Metazoa; Chordata; Mammalia; Didelphimorphia; Didelphidae. The record is from RNAcentral.
AGAGGUUUAAAUGACUUGAUCAUGCAGUUAGUACCUGAGGCCAGAUUUGAACUUACGAAGAAGAGUCCUCCUAUCAUCUCCAGAAACUGAUGUAAUGGACUUCUCUACUAUCAGCAAAGGAUCCAGGACAAGCCAAAGGGACUUAUGAGAAAGAACAAUAUCCAUACACAGAGAAAGAACUGUGGGAGUAUAUAUGCAGAAGAAAAAUGUCAUCGAUCUCAUGGUUCGAUGGGUUCUUGAAGACUGCUAUAAAGAAGAAUAAUGCCUUGAUUUAUUUUAAACCUUGAAAUACUGUGUAUUGACUCCAACGCAGAAGAAUUGUAAGAGCUAAGCAAUGGGGGCUUAAGUGACUUGUCCAGGAUCAUACAGCUGUGAAGUGUCUGAGGCCAGAUUUGAACCUAGGACCUCCUGUUUCUAGGCCAGACUCUCAAUCCACUGAGCCACCCAGCUGCCCCACCUUGAUUUUCUUCUAACAGAUUUUUUUUUCUUUUGC